UGAGGAAUAUUGCCCAAUGGACGAAAGUCUGAGGCAGCAACGCCGCGUGGACGAUGAAGGCCUUCGGGUUGUAAAGUCCUUUUCUGGGGGACGAGGAAGGACGGUACCUCAGGAAUAAGUCACGGCUAACUACGUGCCAGCAGCCGCGGUAAUACGUAGGUGGCAAGCGUUAUCCGGAUUUACUGGGCGUAAAGCGCGUGCAGGCGGUUUCGUAAGUCGGACGUGAAAGCUCCUGGCUUAACUAGGAGAGGCCGUUCGAUACUGCGGGACUUGAGGUCGGGAGAGGGACGUGGAAUUCCCGGUGUAGUGGUGGAAUGCGUAGAUAUCGGGAGGAACACCAGUGGCGAAGGCGGCGUCCUGGCCCGCACCUGACGCUAAGACGCGAAAGCGUGGGGAGCGAACG
This 403-nucleotide ribosomal RNA is filed under the name uncultured bacterium. RNAcentral describes it as "bacterial SSU rRNA". It matches the Rfam family "Bacterial small subunit ribosomal RNA", at positions 355 to 774 of the family's 1533-position model. The record is from RNAcentral.